RNAcentral lists this ribosomal RNA (492 nucleotides) under uncultured bacterium. RNAcentral's name for it is "partial 16S ribosomal RNA". It matches the Rfam family "Bacterial small subunit ribosomal RNA", at positions 29 to 507 of the family's 1533-position model. The record is from RNAcentral.
AGUGAACGCUGGCGGUAGGCCUAACACAUGCAAGUCGAACGGCAGCACAGUAAGAGCUUGCUCUUACGGGUGGCGAGUGGCGUACGGGUGAGGAAUACAGUGGAAUCUACUUUUUCGUGGGGGAUAACGUAGGGAAACUUACGCUAAUACCGCAUACGACCUACGGGUGAAAGCAGGGGAUCUUCGGACCUUGCGCGAUUGAAUGAGCCGAUGUCGGAUUAGCUAGUUGGUGGGGUAAAGGCCCACCAAGGGGACGAUCCGUAGCUGGUCUGAGAGGAUGCUCGGCGGAACUGGAACUGGAGCACGGUCCAGCCUCCUGCGAGAGGCAGCAGUGGGGAAUAUUGGCCAGUGGGCGCAAGCCUGAUCCAGCCAUACCGCGUGGGUGCCGAAGGCCUUCGGGUUGUAAAGCCCUUUUGUUGGGAGAGAAAAGCAGCAGGUUAAUACCCCGCUGUUCUGACGGUACCCAAAGAAUAAGCACCGGCUAACUUCGUG